Molecule: ribosomal RNA, 199 nt
Filed under: uncultured bacterium
Lineage: Bacteria
Description: partial 16S ribosomal RNA
Rfam family: Bacterial small subunit ribosomal RNA
Source: RNAcentral
ACGCUCGACACCUACGGGAAGGCAGCAGUGGGGAAUAUUGCACAAUGGGGGAAACCCUGAUGCAGCGAUGCCGCGUGAAGGAAGAAGUAUCUCGGUAUGUAAACUUCUAUCAGCAGGGAANAAAAUGACGGUACCUGACUAAGAAGCCCCGGCUAACUACGUGACCAACAGCCGCGGUAAUCUGAGCGGNUGGCAAGGC